GACGAACGCUGGCGGCGUGCUUAACACAUGCAAGUCGAGCGGUAAGGCCCUUUCGGGGGUACACGAGCGGCGAACGGGUGAGUAACACGUGGGUGACCUGCCCUCAGCUCUGGGAUAAGCCUGGGAAACCGGGUCUAAUACUGGAUAUGACUCCAUGACGCAUGUUGUGGGGUGGAAAGCCUUGUGCGGCUGAGGAUGGGCCCGCGGCCUAUCAGCUUGUUGGUGGGGUGANGGCCUACCAAGGCGACGACGGGUAGCCGGCCUGAGAGGGCGACCGGCCACACUGGGACUGAGACACGGCCCAGACUCCUACGGGAGGCAGCAGUGGGGAAUCUUGCGCAAUGGGCGAAAGCCUGACCGCAGCGACGCCGCGUGAGGGAUGACGGCC
Molecule: ribosomal RNA, 388 nt
Filed under: uncultured bacterium
Lineage: Bacteria
Description: bacterial SSU rRNA
Rfam family: Bacterial small subunit ribosomal RNA
Source: RNAcentral